GGCGUGUUUUCAUGAUCCUAUAGGUAAAAAUGUAAUUAUAAGUAUUGAAUGCUUUUUUUUGUAACUUUAUAGGGUUGUAAAAGCGUUGACCGUGCGCACAUUUUUAGUAUGAAGCGCUUCCGCGCUUCAUACAAAAUGUACUUCGGUCAACGCUUUUACACCCCAAUAAAUUUACAAAAAAAGAGCAUUCAAUUCUUAAAUAUAAUCAA
RNAcentral lists this long non-coding RNA (209 nucleotides) under Mytilus galloprovincialis (Mediterranean mussel). The record is from RNAcentral. Lineage: Eukaryota; Metazoa; Mollusca; Bivalvia; Mytilida; Mytilidae.